GGUCUGGUGGCGAGUGGCGAACGGGUGAGUAAUGCAUCGGAACGUGCCAUUGAGUGGGGGAUAACGUAGCGAAAGUUGCGCUAAUACCGCAUAUUCUGUGAGCAGGAAAGCAGGGGACCGCAAGGCCUUGCGCUCUUUGAGCGGCCGAUGUCAGAUUAGCUAGUUGGUGAGGUAAAGGCUUACCAAGGCGACGAUCUGUAGCGGGUCUGAGAGGAUGAUCCGCCACACUGGAACUGAGACACGGUCCAGACUCCUACGGGAGGCAGCAGUGGGGAAUUUUGGACAAUGGGGGCAACCCUGAUCCAGCCAUGCCGCGUGAGUGAAGAAGGCCUUCGGGUUGUAAAGCUCUUUCGGCCGGGAAGAAAUCGCAUGGGCCAAUACCCUGUGUGGAUGACGGUACCGGAAUAAGAAGCACCGGCUAACUACGUGCCAGCAGCCGCGGUAAUACGUAGGGUGCGAGCGUUAAUCAGAAUUACUGGGCGUAAAGCGUGCGCAGGCGGUUUUGUAAGACAGGCGUGAAAUCCCCGGGCUUAACCUGGGAACUGCGUUUGUGACUGCAAGGCUGGAGUACGGCAGAGGGGGGUGGAAUUCCACGUGUAGCAGUGAAAUGCGUAGAGAUGUGGAGGAACACCAAUGGCGAAGGCAGCCCCCUGGGUCGAUACUGACGCUCAUGCACGAAAGCGUGGGUAGCAAACAGGAUUAGAUACCCUGGUAGUCCACGCCCUAAACUAUGUCAACUAGGUGUUGGGUGGGUAAAACCAUUUAGUACCGUAGCUAACGCGUGAAGUUGACCGCCUGGGGAGUACGGCCGCAAGGUUAAAACUCAAAGGAAUUGACGGGGACCCGCACAAGCGGUGGAUGAUGUGGAUUAAUUCGAUGCAACGCGAAAAACCUUACCUACCCUUGACAUGCCAGGAACUUGCCAGAGAUGGCUUGGUGCCCGAAAGGGAGCCUGGACACAGGUGCCGCAUGGCUGUCGUCAGCUCGUGUCGUGAGAUGUUGGGUUAAGUCCCGCAACGAGCGCAACCCUUGUCGUUAAUUGCCAUCAUUUAGUUGGGCACUUUAACGAGACUGCCGGUGACAAACCGGAGGAAGGUGGGGAUGACGUCAAGUCCUCAUGGCCCUUAUGGGUAGGGCUUCACACGUCAUACAAUGGUCGGUACAAAGGGUUGCCAAGCCGCGAGGCGGAGCCAAUCCCAGAAAGCCGAUCGUAGUCCGGAUUGCAGGCUGCAACUCGCCUGCAUGAAGUCGGAAUCGCUAGUAAUCGUGGAUCAGCAUGUCACGGUGAAUACGUUCCCGGGUCUUGUACACACCGCCCGUCACACCAUGGGAGCGGGUUCCGCCAGAAGUAGGUAGCCUAACCGCAAGGGGGGCGCUUACCACGGCGGGGUUCGUGAC
RNAcentral lists this ribosomal RNA (1398 nucleotides) under metagenome. Its description in RNAcentral is "bacterial SSU rRNA". It matches the Rfam family "Bacterial small subunit ribosomal RNA". The record is from RNAcentral.